GAUGAACGCUGGCGGCGUGCCUAAUACAUGCAAGUCGAGCGAACAGACGAGGAGCUUGCUCCUCUGACGUUAGCGGCGGACGGGUGAGUAACACGUGGAUAACCUACCUAUAAGACUGGGAUAACUUCGGGAAACCGGAGCUAAUACCGGAUAAUAUAUUGAACCGCAUGGUUCAAUAGUGAAAGACGGUUUUGCUGUCACUUAUAGAUGGAUCCACGCCGCAUUAGCUAGUUGGUAAGGUAACGGCUUACCAAGGCAACGAUGCGUAGCCGACCUGAGAGGGUGAUCGGCCACACUGGAACUGAGACACGGUCCAGACUCCUACGGGAGGCAGCAGUAGGGAAUCUUCCGCAAUGGGCGAAAGCCUGACGGAGCAACGCCGCGUGAGUGAUGAAGGUCUUCGGAUCGUAAAACUCUGUUAUUAGGGAAGAACAAAUGUGUAAGUAACUAUGCACGUCUUGACGGUACCUAAUCAGAAAGCCACGGCUAACUACGU
Molecule: ribosomal RNA, 496 nt
Filed under: uncultured bacterium
Lineage: Bacteria
Description: partial 16S ribosomal RNA
Rfam family: Bacterial small subunit ribosomal RNA
Source: RNAcentral